CAUGGAUCCUGCUAGACUUUAUAUGUUUGUUUGUUUAAGAUUGGGUCUUACUAUGUUUCCCAGGCUGGCCUUGAACUCCUUGGAUCAAGCAGCCCUCCCACCUCAGCCUCCUAAAGUGCUGGGAUUACAGGUGUGAGCCACUGUGCCUGGCCUUGCUAGACUUCUUACUUCCUAAAAGCGAGCUUCCUUCUGAAAACAUUGUAUUUGACUGAAUGAAAACAUUGAGCAUGGAAGUUGGGCUCAUUUCAGAUCUGGCUCUGGGUCUUCCCUUCACUACAGGAAGAGCUCAGGCUCAGCAUGACCCAGGCCUUGCUAUGUGGAGAAGCUGUGUCAUGAUAAAGUCAGUCACUUGUUAUUGACAGCUACGAGUGGCAGCGGACAUUCUGGUUAGGAACAAAGGCCUUGGGGUCAGCAAACCUGGGCCCAGAUUUGACUUUUCCCACAUAUUAGUUGUGUGGCACUGGACAAGUUAUUUUACCAAUGCUUAGCUUCCUUAUGUAUAAAAUGGAGAUCAGAAUAGUGCCUACCACUUAGCAUGUUUUUGAGAAAUAAAAUAAGUUAUGUAGAACCAUAUGCCCCACUUCCCCAGCUGGGUAUGUAAGUAAUAUAAUAUUCCUAGAUUAGGAAAUUUCAUAAUCCUGUUUCUUCCUUGUGGACUCCCUUCCGGGGUCCAGCCUGGAUACCCAGAAGCACUUAUUCAGUCUCAAGGGUCAGUCCUAGAUCUUCUCACCCUGCUGGGUGUUCCAGGCUCCCCAGAUGCCUUCUGCUGUAAUCACAUUGCUGCCAGAGGCUGAUGGUGCUGCUAAACCUACGGCAGCUUGGCGAGCCACAGCAGAGCCCUUGCCACCGUCCAUGCUGCCGUGGCUCUUCAGGUCAGCAGGGAGGCUGUUUCUGGGUUGCCAGUGUAUAGGUUUUUUUUUGAGACAGAGUCUUGCUCUGUUGCCCAGGCUGGAGUGCAGUGGCACAAUCUCAGCUCAUUGUAACCUCCGCUUCCUGGGUUCAAGCAAUUAUUCUGCCUUAGCCUCACAAGUAGCUGGAACUACAGGCAUGUGACACCACACCUGUUUAAUUUUUUAUAUUUUAGUAGAGAUGGGUUUCACCAUGUUGCAGGCCGGUCUCAAACUCCUGAGCUCAGGCAAUCUGCCUGCCUCAGCCUCCCAAAGUGCUAGAGUUACAGGUGUGAGCCACCAUGCCCAGGCACCAGUGUGUAGCUUUUUAAUAGAACUUCCCGUGGCUGCUUGGGUUUACUUUGGGUCAAGAGCAAUAAUAAAUUCAUAUAUUACCCCCAAUGUGCUUGUGGAGAAUAAUGGGGAGGACACUUCAGCUAUAAGCGUGAUCCGGCCUAAGGUAAAAACGUUUCAAUCAGGUCUUUGUGCAGGUGGAGUGUGGCUUUGUUGUUUGAAAAGAUUAAUAAUGACAGGCCAGCUUUCUAUGCACUGAAGGCCUAUGGAGGAUGGCUCUGAACACACACAAAAAAAUAUGAACAACAACAACAACAAUUUGUCUCUAUCUUGCUUAAAUGCAGCUAGGGGAAUAAUUAUAGAUUGCAUGGCAUUUAGGCACAAUGUUUCUUUUCCUUAAGAUUGGGGUUUGUGUGUGUGUUGCAAUCCUUGACCACCAGAAGAAUGAGGAGGCACAGCUUUGCCUCACACAGAUGGCUGGUCUUGGAAAAAGACCAGACCUGGAGUACCAACACCUCUUCUGGGCUAUCUUCUGGGAAUGCCUCAGUGUUAUCCUAGACUGAAUCUCCUGAACAGACGGGCCGUGCUGGUUGGCCAACACACGUCUUUUAACUACGUGGCCAAAGUCUUUGCCACUCACUCUGUGGUUAAAACGUAAACAGAAGGUCAAAAGGUAGGAUCACAGGCCAGGCAUGGUGGCUCAUGCCUGUAAUCCCAGCACUUUGGGAGGCUAAGGCAGGAGGAUCAUUUGAGUCUAGGAGUUUGAGACCAGCCAGGGCAACAUGGUGAGAUCCCAUCUCUACAAUAAAUUUUUAAGUCACCCUGGCCUAGUGGCAUGCACCUGUAGUCCGCACUACUCAGGAGGCUGAGGUGGGAAGAUUGCUUGAGCUUGGGAGUUCGAGGCUGCAGUGAGUUGUUACCACGCCCCUGCACUCCAGCCUGGGUGACAGAGUGAGACUCUGUCUUGAAAAGAAAAAAAAAAA
Molecule: long non-coding RNA, 2164 nt
Filed under: Macaca fascicularis (crab-eating macaque)
Lineage: Eukaryota; Metazoa; Chordata; Mammalia; Primates; Cercopithecidae
Description: lncRNA (ENSMFAG00000057824.1)
Source: RNAcentral